RNAcentral lists this long non-coding RNA (227 nucleotides) under Mytilus galloprovincialis (Mediterranean mussel). Lineage: Eukaryota; Metazoa; Mollusca; Bivalvia; Mytilida; Mytilidae. The record is from RNAcentral.
AGCGGAAGAAGCUAAUGCAGUUCAGUUUCUGUUGGAACAUUAAUUUAUUUGAAAAACAGACAAGAUCGGCUAGGAAUAGCGCACAGUUGGUUUAAGCACAAGUGCCGAUAACCUGCUGAAAAAUUUAAAAUACAUUGAAGAGAAAAACAACGACAAAAUACAAAACAACGACACAUAAUUUUUGGAUGGUUAGAACGAUAUAAUAAACCGACAUAUAUUGACACCAG